CUUCAACGACCCCAGAUACAACGGCUCACCACCACGCUCCUGGCCAUACGUCGCGAGCAACGCCUGCGCCUC
This 72-nucleotide antisense RNA is filed under the name Actinoplanes regularis. RNAcentral's name for it is "ASpks TB sRNA". It matches the Rfam family "ASpks TB sRNA". The record is from Rfam by way of RNAcentral. Lineage: Bacteria; Bacillati; Actinomycetota; Actinomycetes; Micromonosporales; Micromonosporaceae.